This is an RNA transcript of Hevea brasiliensis (rubber tree), 3638 nucleotides long. It is a transcript of the gene named disease resistance protein SUMM2-like, with no coding region annotated. NCBI's taxonomy places the organism in Eukaryota, Viridiplantae, Streptophyta, Magnoliopsida, Malpighiales, Euphorbiaceae. The transcript has 3 exons. The record is from RefSeq and is a predicted model, not a curated record.
UCCUCUUCCAUUUUUUAUCCCAUUUGGCGAGCAGCAGCUCCAAGAUUCAAGUAAACUAAUCCUGAAUCAAGAUUCAUGUUAGCGAGAUUGCUACCCCUCGUGAGAUAAUAUUCAUGUGCUCACACCAGCUACCCCUCGUGAGAUAAUAUUCAUGUGCUCACACCACCUCCAGCUUUCUCUGUCGUCCCUGCUCAGUGCUUGCGCUAGAGUUGCAGCCCAGGAGCCAGAAUUACUACAGCAACAUGGUGUCAUAGGAAUCUCAGCUCUUCUGAAGAAUCUUUGCAGAGAUGGGAAAAAGAACAUUUGAAGAAGAUAUGUGAUGCUUAUUAUCUUCCUGAAUGGUGUUCUGCUGCCGAUUAUGUUGAAAUACUCGAGUCUCUGACUUUUCAGCCAUGUCACGUAUAGAGACGGCAGCUAUUAGCCCCGUCUGGGAUGCUAUCAAAGGCUCGAUCUUUUUUUGUUGCACUCGUGCAGAUUACUUUGACGACUUGGCAAACAAUCUCAAUCACGCAAAACAUGAUAUUGGGCGACUGGAGAAAUGGAAGGAGAAUGUACUACAGAGGGCUCAAAAAGAAACCAAACCACAGAUGGAGCAGAAAUACGAAGUGACCGACUGGCUGGACAGAGUAAAUCACGUGCAGGAGGAUGCAAAGGAGAUUAUUAAAGAAGCUGACGAAGAAAUUCGUAACAAAGCUCUCAGAUGGUUCUGUCCCAAGAAGUGCUGCUCCUACAACAGGGUUGGAAAGAGAGUAAGUGAAAAGCGCAGAGAAGUGAAUCAACUUAUAGAGGCUGGUAAAUUUGAUGCUGUUGUCGAGAGAAAGUGUGGUGAUUUUGUGAUCCAGAUGCCUGUACCGAAAACUUUUGGGUUGGAAUCCAAACUUGAAAAAAUCUGGAGAUGGAUUGAAAACCCAAGUGUGGAAAUUAUUGGGUUAUAUGGAAUGGGAGGCGUGGGUAAAACCACCGUCCUCAGAAAGAUCUACAAUAAGAUCUGCGAAAAGAGUGAUUAUGUCGUGAUUUUUGUUGAGAGGUCUGAACAGGACCCAGUGAAAGCAGCCAAAGAAGCUAUUUGCAAAAAAAUUGAAAUCUCUCUGGAAAACUGGAUAAAUAAAGGUGAGGCAAUCAAUAAGGCGAUUUGGAACGCUUUGAGAAAGGAGAAAUUUGCUUUGAUGUUUGAUGGCGUAGGAAGGCAAUGGCAACAUCAACUCUUGGAAGAAAUCGGACUUCAUCUGAACGGCAAUGGGAAUGGGUCCAAAGUCAUUUUUACCACUCGGUCAAAAGAGUUAUGUGACAGGAUGAAAGCAAAAACAUUUGAAGUAGAUUGUUUGCCACCAGAAACUGCUCUACAAGUUCGUGUCCUGUGUGGGAGAGGACACUCUAAAUGUUAAUUGGAAGAUCCCAAAGCUGGCUGAUGAACUUGCUGAUGUGUGCAAGGGUUUGCCUCUUCUGCUCACCACUAUCGGUCAAGCCAUGGCUGGUAAGACCAAACCCCGCGAUUGGGAGCGUGCAAUUGAAAAAUUGAAUACUCAGCCGUCAUCAUUUCCAGAUGUUGAGGCUAGUGUCUUACCUGUUCUCAAGAUAAGCUAUGACAGCUUGAGCACAGAUAACCUCAGGAAAUGCUUUCUGUACUUUUCGUUGUUCCCAGGAGUUGAUAAUAUUAAGAAAAUGGAACUGACUGAACUCUGGAUCGCAGAAGGGUUUCUAGAUCAAUCUAAUAGCACGUAUGAAGCCAGGGAAGAAGGAGAAGAUGCUUUAGGAAGUCUAAAGAGUGCGAGUUUGUUGGAGAGUGGUAAAUCAGAAGAUUUUGUUAAAAUGCAUGAUGUGAUUCAAGCAAUGACCUUGUGGCUAGCUCGUGAGGAGGGAAAGGCAGAGGACAAAGUGUUGGUGCGGGAAAAAACACCACAGCUUUCAAAGUGGAUUAACGCAGAAAGGAUAUCAUUGUGUGGUGCCAGCUUCGAAUCUCUCCCUGAGGCACCUUCUUGCCAUCAUCUUACAACGUUGCUUCUCAGGGCUACUAAUUUGAAGAUACUGCCAAGUGAAUUCUUUCAAUCUAUGCCUGCUUUAAAAGUUUUGGACUUGUCAGAUAAUGAAGGCUUAAUUGAGCUACCUGUGGGCAUUGGAAAUUUGACGAACUUGCGUUAUCUAAAUUUGUCAGGGACUUGUAUAGAAAUAUUGCCAAUGGAGGUUCAGAAUUUGAAGAAGUUGCAGUCUUUGAUAUUGGAUAGGACACCGCCCCUGCUAACUAUCCCAAUGGGCGUGAUUUCUAGUCUUUCAUCAUUGCAGGCUUUUAGGAGGGUAUUUGAUCAGAUUUUGAUUCUUAAUUCUCCACUAGAUGAUGAAGUAGAGCUUCUAAAGGAGUUGGAAUCCUUGGAACACAUAGAUGAGAUUGGUAUAUUUUUAUCAUAUGCAAGUUUCGUGCAAAAAGUAUUGGACAGUGACACCCACAAGUUGCGAAGACGCAUAAAACAGCUGCAACUAGUACAGGGCACAGAUCAUCCACCAAAACUCUCUCUAAGAGGGAUGGAGCAUUUGGAGAGACUUGAAUUAUUGAAGUGCUCGUCCUUGACAGAGGUUGAAAUUGUCAAAGAAAUAAUCAGCAGGAGCCUCAGGGUUCUGAUAUCAAUGUUUCCCCCGACCACCGCUGGAGAAAAAUGCAGGAAUCGUUUCCCAACCUCCGUAUUGUGAGGAUCUGCGACUGUCCAAUAAAGAACGUGACGUGCCUCCUAAAUGUCCCGAGCCUUCAAUCUCUGAAAUUAAGUGGCUGCAAUGAAAUUAUUGAAGUAAUAAGUGAAGAUCAUGGGCAAGAUGUAUUCAGAAAUCUGGAGAAAUUAUCAUUGAAACGCUUACCAAGUCCAUCUACUGCCGACCCCUACAAUUUUUUUCCCUUGCGAAGCUAGUUGUAUUUGAUUGCCCAAACCUACGAAGCCUUCCAUUUGAUUCCAACAGCGCAACAAAAUUAAGACAAGUUAAAGGAAGCGGAAGCUGGUGGAACAAUUUGCUGUGGGAGCCGGUUGUCACUAAACAUGCUUUCUGCAGAAAAUUCAGGGACAAAGAUGACGUUGCGGAGCUUGUGAAGUCUUACAAGGUUUACAAUCCUCACACGACUCCAUAUUACUAUUGCUAUAAUAUUGAAGAAGCCCCGAAUGCUUGUGUUAUCCAGUAAUUAUUAGAUCUCCCAGAAAAUAUAUAUUAGAAUGUGAAGGUUCGGUGUUCAUCUCCUCUUGUUUGUUGGUGAAGCUCAGGGGAUUCUGCGGCUAUUAAAUUAGCAAAAACAAUGGGUUGUGCUUGCGCAGGCAAUUGCUUCAUCAGUUUUGAAAGAGCCUCCAGUACAUAAAGUUUGGGCAAUUCAGGCAAUUGUGCAGCUGCUCAUCUUCAGCCAAGUUACCUUCUCUCAUGUAAAAAGGCUAACGCAGCUGCUCAUCAUCUUGCAAAACUUGGUUUUCUUAAUCAACUUCCAUGUAAUUGACUUCUUGUUUGUCCUGAUUCCCUAUCUUCUAUUUGUAUUUUUCAUGCUCACAUGGCCUCGUAAUACAUUUUCUUGCCAUUCAAAAAAAACAAAAAAUGUUGUGACCUUUAUAUGUUUUAUCGAACUUUCUGAAUCUUCUUAAUUUUAGGCCAUCAUUGGCAUUAUGAUUAUAGCU